GUUGUUGUGGCCGAGAGGUUAAGGCGAUGGACUGAAAUCCAUUGGGGUCUCCCCGGCGCAGUUUCGAGUCCUGCCAGCAACG
This 82-nucleotide transfer RNA is filed under the name Gasterosteus aculeatus (three-spined stickleback). It matches the Rfam family "tRNA". Rfam says of the family: Transfer RNA (tRNA) molecules are approximately 80 nucleotides in length. Their secondary structure includes four short double-helical elements and three loops (D, anti-codon, and T loops). The record is from Rfam by way of RNAcentral. Lineage: Eukaryota; Metazoa; Chordata; Actinopteri; Perciformes; Gasterosteidae.